UCUCGGCCUUAUGGCUAAGAUCAAGUGUAGAAUCCGUUCUAAUCAGUGUGAAACCUGAUUUCCAUGAUUUUUUGAUGUUUAUUUUCACAUUAUUUUUUUGCAAUCGUCUCAGCUCGCUAUUCGCUCAUGUAAUGUAUUCAAGAUUUUUUUAGUUGAAGCAAGCUGCAUCAACACAAGAGA
Molecule: small nuclear RNA, 180 nt
Filed under: Globisporangium iwayamae DAOM BR242034
Lineage: Eukaryota; Oomycota; Peronosporomycetes; Pythiales; Pythiaceae
Description: U2 spliceosomal RNA
Rfam family: U2 spliceosomal RNA
About the family: U2 is a small nuclear RNA (snRNA) component of the spliceosome (involved in pre-mRNA splicing). Complementary binding between U2 snRNA (in an area lying towards the 5' end but 3' to hairpin I) and the branchpoint sequence (BPS) of the intron results the bulging out of an unpaired adenosine, on the BPS, which initiates a nucleophilic attack at the intronic 5' splice site, thus starting the first of two transesterification reactions that mediate splicing.
Source: RNAcentral